This 75-nucleotide transfer RNA is filed under the name Pedosphaera sp. RNAcentral describes it as "tRNA-Lys". It matches the Rfam family "tRNA". From Rfam's summary of the family: Transfer RNA (tRNA) molecules are approximately 80 nucleotides in length. RNAcentral also lists the same sequence under 2 other names. The record is from RNAcentral. Lineage: Bacteria; Pseudomonadati; Verrucomicrobiota; Pedosphaerae; Pedosphaerales; Pedosphaeraceae.
GCCUCGGUAGCUCAAUGGUAGAGCAGUUGACUCUUAAUCAAUUGGUUGUGGGUUCAAGUCCCUCCCGGGGUACCA